ACCGGCGCAAGGGUGCGUAACGCGUGAGCAACAUGCCCGUAUCAGGGGGAUAAUCCAUGGAAACGUGGUCUAAUACCCCAUAGUAAGUUUUUGGGGCAUCUCAAAGAUUUUAAAGCUUUGGUGGAUACGGAUUGGCUCGCGUGACAUUAGCUAGAUGGUAAGGUAACGGCUUACCAUGGCUACGAUGUCUAGGGGUUCUGAGAGGAAGGUCCCCCACACUGGAACUGAGACACGGUCCAGACUCCUACGGGAGGCAGCAGUGAGGAAUAUUGGACAAUGGAUGGAAAUCUGAUCCAGCCAUGCCGCGUGCAGGAAGACGGCCCUAUGGGUUGUAAACUGCUUUUGUAUGGGAGCAAUAAGGGCUACGUGUAGUCCGAUGAGAGUACCAUACGAAUAAGCACCGGCUAACUCCGUGCCAGCAGCCGCGGUAAUACGGAGGGUGCAAGCGUUAUCCGGAUUUAUUGGGUUUAAAGGGUGCGUAGGCGGUUUGAUAAGUCAGCGGUGAAAUAUUUCAGCUUAACUGGAAGGGUGCCGUUGAUACUGUCGAGCUUGAAUUUAGUUGCUGUGGGUGGAAUGUGUGGUGUAGCGGUGAAAUGCAUAGAUAUCACACAGAAUAUCGAUUGCGAAGGCAGCUCACAAAGCUAAUAUUGACGCUGAUGCACGAAAGUGUGGGGAUCAAACAGGAUUAGAUACCCUGGUAGUCCACACU
Molecule: ribosomal RNA, 709 nt
Filed under: uncultured bacterium
Lineage: Bacteria
Description: bacterial SSU rRNA
Rfam family: Bacterial small subunit ribosomal RNA
Source: RNAcentral